UAAGUCCGCGGGUCCCUGCGGAAGAAAAUGAGCUCAGCCGGAGACAGGAGCAAACUGCAGAAGAUCCAAGUUUAUUGCGCAACAGGUUCAAGGCGAGAUUGAACAGCGAGAAAGGGGUGACAUGAACUUUUGAAAUUUCCCUCCAUGUCCCAGAAUACAGUGCAAAAUACAUCCCAGUUACAUCAUGAAUACAUUAAGAAGAGGUUGGGUCACACAGGAUUAACAUAUGGAGGAGGGAGGGGGGAAUAUGCAGAGCUGGAGAUAUGCGCAGAUAAGCACAUCCUGAGUACCUGAUGAGAAGACAAUGGUCCAUGUAUGCAUGGUCUGCCACCUGGCAUUGCCCGGAGGAAAGGCUUGGCAGAGUGAUUUGACAGGAUUAGGGUCUUGACACCUUGCUUGAGGGAUUAUGGAGGACAGGGGAGGUGUCAUGGAGUCCUAGAGAAAUUGAGCAAAUUGGCACGUUGGUUUUCUAUGAAUUUUAUAGAUUUUAGUCCCUUUUGACAUUGACAAUUGGAAAUAAAUGGAUAUAUUGUAGCGAAGAAGAAGGUGAAGAAGACAUGCCCCCCCCCUUCCGUAUCAGUCCCCCAUUCGGAGAUAGAUUUGCAUUAAAGUUCUGUAAGAACUUGCAAAUCUUUUCUCCGCACCCUAAAUCUCGGUGAAUGUAGGGGUGCCCUGUGAGUGGGAAUAGGCUCUAAUGGAAAAGGAGGUGGGUUGAGCAGGGCAGCAAAAGAGGGAGCAACACGGACAAAUACAAUGUACGCGUGUGUUAUAUAGAUAUGCGCUAAAUAAUAACUUGGUAUCUACCGUACCAGAUGUGUGGGUUUAUGCAAACCUGAAAGGGACUUGCAAGCCAUGCCUCUUACGGUCAUUUGCAAGUAUAGCAGUGCAGAUAGCUGGAUAUAGGAUAUUACAUAAAAGAACACCUGUUGUAUUUUGUUACUAAAUUACUUGUGGCAUUCUAGCUCUUGGGAGAAACAUUUUCAAUAGUGGUGUAUGCUUUACAUUUAACAGGAAGGUCCACUACUGACUGAAAAAAAAUGCAGUUUGCUUUUUAGCCCCACCGUUUUGUGUUCUCAGGUGCCAAGCUAGCUUUUCUGUGGUCUCACACCAGCAUAGUGGUACAGUAACACAUCCUGUUGAAUCCCCUCAGGGCUUUCAUUUAACCAUGUCGCCUGGCACUCACCAUAGCUGGCACAGGUUUGGACAUAUCAUGAGAGAUAUGCCUUUGCCUUGGCCUUUCUAUGGGGUUUUAUUAUUGCAGGCUCUGGUCUUGCACUCAUGGAAAGUUGCUCACUUGCUCUUAAAGGACCAAAAGCUAGUUGCAGCCUGGAUACACGUGCCCAAUUCCAGCAGAGUCCAAUUUGAAUUUAUCUUGCCCCAUGGUUCUCAACUUUUCAAAACCAAUAUGUUAAAACAAAACCAUUCUUAAAAGGGGCACUUGUCCAAAGGAGUCAAUUUAACUGUAUAAGGGACCAUUCCUGCUACAUCAAGGCAUAUACACGUUUCUUGUUAUCAAUAAUAAUAAUAAUAUGUUGGAGAUGUAAGGAAAGUGAAGGAACCUUAUUCUACAUAUGGUAGUCGUGUCCUCAAAUAAAUAAAUAAAAUUUGGGACAUGAUCUACACCCAUUUUCAUUUGGCAUUUUAAUCAAAACAUCUCAAAUAAUAAUAAAGAGCGUUGCUUCAAAGCUACCUGUAAAUAUGGUUCCAAUAAUAAUACUUGGUUGUGGUUAGAUUAAUUUCACAGCUAUACGGGAAAACCAAGAUUAAUAAAUAAAUAAAUACAGAACAAUUGCUACUUAAAGACAGUACUGAAUCUGCAAGUGAUACAGAGAAGUCAUAGAAGAGAUUUGAAAUAGUUUUCUGGAACAGAAAGAAAGAAAUAGUAAAAAGUCUGGGAACUUCAUGUAUAGAAAAACAUUAAAUACAUAAAUAAAUGGGUAGGGAAGGUUGGCACUCUGCAGAGUGCCAGGUGGGACAAGGAAAUAUGAUCAUCAGUUGACUUAAUCUAAAUAUAGCCUGCUCUAUCGGAAAGCAUGUAAUAUAUGAGAAUCCUCCAUGGAAAAAAAAACCUUGGGGUGUAAGCCAUAUCCUUCUGUUGUUCAUAGUUAUGUAUCCUACAUUAUACAGAAACAAUUACACACAGAAAUUUUUGCCCCCUCUUUGUGGAGAUAACACACUAUCAGACACAUUUCAGCAUUCCUACAUAAUAACACAUAAUACACAAAACAUACAAAUUAUUAAUUCUACACCAUAUCUUGAGGCAAUAAUGUGAUCUUGAGACAAUUCUUGCUGCUUUUACAUGUAUUUCCAAACUUGGGCACAAGGGCAUUUCCUUCAAAAUUCAAUUAGUCAGUUUCUCAAGUCUUUUAUGGGAAGAAAUUGUUGUGGCCACUGUGAUGCAUUGGCAGGCUGCUUAGCUGAUGAGGAGAUGGUCUUAAUAUUUUGGUCUCCCGCAAAGCAUCCUUUGGAAAUAGGCCUGCAGGGGGGGUUGGGAUCUGAAGACAUAAUUAGUUGUUGUUGUUGUUUUUUCUUUCUUUUUUUUUAAGGAGGAAGAUAAUAGUCAAGAAAGGAGAGAAUAUUCUAAAAUUUUCUUCUUGGGAGGCUGUAAAUACAAACUCAUAGUUAAGCAUUUUAUCCAUUUAAAUAUUAUAAUCAUUUACAUUUAAUUUCCUUCACUUAGUUUGGCUGUGGAAGAAAUGAAGGGACAAAACCUUUGUUAAUUUGAACACAAUUGGCAAGUUAUUAAACAUUUUGCUUAUGUGGGUCCGAAUUCUCUUCACGUAUCCUGUUUGAAAGGGAAAUUUUUAUUUCCUGUGAAAAUCUCUGUCAGGAAUGCUGUUCCUAUAAUGCAUAGGUAUAUAGUACUCACAAAACCAAACCAGAUAAAAGACAAGCUCAGUGGGAAAACUGUGAAAGAAUUUUGCAUGUUAGAUUGGGGAACUACUCAAGAGAAGAACUCACAGUGGGAGUGCUUUGAUAUUUACCUGUGAAAAGAAUUUGGCAUGUUAAGAUUUGAAACUUGGAAACCUCUUGACUUUUGAUGGUCCAGUACUUAACCCUUUUGUCUUACAUAGCCCCUGGAGCAAAGGACAAAUUAAGGGUGAUUUCCCUCAAUGGUUCCAAGUUUACAUAAGGAAAUUUGGAUAGGUUUCUCCCUGCAGCCCAUGCUCUCCAAACCUCCUCUCCCCCCCCCUUUCUCUCUCUCUCUCUCUCUCUCGCUCUUAGCUGAUCUAGCCUCUGUGCAUGUGCAGAGUUCAUGUCUCAGCAAAACCUUUUAUACUAUUGAAAUGUUGCAUUAAAACAAAGAGCAAAGCUGGGCUGAAUUUCAACUCAUCACAUGCUUGCAGACACAUGGCCCUUCACACAGCCACAAAUUGGGAGAGUUGAAGGGGACCCUGGGGUCAUCUAGUCCAACCCUAAAAGGCAGGGUUCAUAGCAAGAUUUGUACUACCAGAGAGACACACACAUAGUUAUGUACACAGGCACAACCGGGGAAGAGACCACAAUCAAUGCUCCUAUCAUGUACUAAGAAAGAGGAAAAUAAAAGUACCCAACUUUAUACAGAACACUUUUAGCAGAUCUUGAAGCUAGUUUGAGUGAGAGUUUACUUCCUUAGACUAAAGAGUGCAAGUUCCUAGAGAAAUGAUCUUAAAGGAAGAACAGUUUUCCUAAGAUAAGAUAGGAAGAGAAUCUAUAAGCAUAGGGUUAUUUCAGUUGAUAUAACCACUCACAAAUAAUAAAAACAGUCCUGGAUUUGAUUUAAAAGGGAUACAAAAGUUAAUAAUGUUUCUGAACUUGCAUAGGAAUAGUACGCCUAAUUAAGAUUUUUUUAAAUAACGAUACAUAGGAAAGUGAGAUGACGGGUACUUUUAGCAAAGAAUGUGCCCCCCUCCCUUGUUGAAGGAAGCUUACUCGGGAGUAAAUUCACUCUGCAGGGAAGUAAGAAAAAGGGGGGGAGGACCUGAAAGAGACUUAAACAAGUGGGGGAGGCAUUUUCCAAUAAGAAGCCAGGAAACCCUGGCUGAUCUUAGAGACUGAUAUCAGGACUGGACUCUAUAGAUAGACAAUUGUUGUCUAUCGAAGCUUCUACCUUUUAUUAACAAUUUUCUUAGAAGGAACACCUAUUUUCAUAGGCAUGUGCUUAAUGAAAUACAGACACUGCAUUUUAGCUUGAGAGAGCAGUUGUGCUCAACUACGCUUUUGCAGCAGAAACAUUAGGUUAACUUCACAUUCCAAAAUAGGCUGUAGACUCACAAUCUCAAAAGUUGCGGCAAAGCAAGAGGUGGGGUAAACAUUUGCACACUUCAUUCUCAUUUUUGUCUUAUUUAGGACUGAUAAGGUCCAGCCUGGCUUCCUUAGAUUUAAAAUUUUGAAACAAGCUCGUAGUUUAAACUAUGCGCACUUAAGAAAGGCAGUCUGUCAGAGACAAAAGGAACAGACAACACACAUAACAGACAACAUGUAAACAUACAUAUUCUCAUAUAUGUAUUAAUAGACAACACACAUAACAGACAACAUGUAAACAUAUAUAUUCUCAUCCUUUAGUUGGUUAUUGCAAGGAGUUGGGCCGCUACCUUUGGCUUCAUUAAGUGAAAUUAGUAGGAAGGUCCCACAUGGUUUUAUGAGCCUCCUUGCCUCUUCAAACACACCACCAGUUAAUCAAACUGGCAGGGCUCACAACGCUUGGUUGACUGGGUACCCUUUUAUAUAUGUAUGCGUUGCUGUUGUUGCUUUUUGUUGUUUUUUCUUUUUUGGGGGGGUGUCUGGGAUAGAGAAGGGAGAAAGAGAGGGGUUGAUUAGGAUUUGGGUAACUUGUACAGGGGGCUAUUUAGGGUUUUUCUAUCUCUUGUUGCUUGGCAACUUCCUAGUGGUUUUAGUGAGCUCUAACUAUCCGGUUUCCCUUUAUUCCUUUCCUUAUUUCCUAUUCCAAAUCUUGGGGUUCCUUUCCACUCUGCCAAAUCCCGCCCAAUUCCUCCUGGGCUAUCCCUCCUGGCAACCUCCUACCUAUCGUCACAAUCUCAGGAAAAGGGGCCCUACUGAACGCCCGCGCCGUGCGGUGCCAGAUCGGGUGAUCCCUGGAUAGAGUUUCGAACCGAAAAUCCCCCUUGCUUUUGGAAGCGGGCUCACGCACGAUACACGUAUUACGUGGCACCGACCAGUGCGGCUGGGAUUGAUGAUAGAAAGCCAGACCCCUUCCUGCCCCCUUGCCGGGCGCUAGGGAAGUUCGGAAAGAGAGCUCCAACCCCUUGCUUUCAACUGGGAUGCCCGUUGCGGAGAGUCGGCUAUUUUUCAAGUCGGCUCUCUCCGUCUUACUUUCGGACUCCCAAUUGGUGCGGCUGGCUGGAGGGUUUUUUUUAAGAGAAAGAGAUAGAGCUCAGAACCCCCCUUUCGGGUCGAGCGGCGGUCCACGGUCUCUCUCACUAACCGGACCAAGAGAAAGGUAAGAAGGAGCGAUAGAGAGGAGGGCAGAGAAUUCAGUUGCCAGGAGACUUCCACCCCCUUCCCACCAGUGCACUGGAUUUUCUUUUCCUUAUACUCACGUGUCUUCUACGAUGAUCCCGGGAUCGAUGAAUAAGCCGGCUGGAUCCCUCUUUGCUCCCCGGCUGAACUCCUGGGGCUUUCGAUUACCGCCCGGAAGAUGGCCGGGGAUCCAAAAGGAUCUUCCCAGGCAAAAUGGCCCAGAGCCGGCUGAAGAUUUCGGGGGCCCCGGUCAGCAGCUCGGGAGAACUGCAAGCCCCACGUGGGGCGCCAACUGUUACGGUAAAAUCUGGGUGUGGGGUUACUCUGCCACCCAGCUCGUCGGACUAGGUCCGCGGGUCCCUGCGGAAGAAAAUGAGCUCAGCUGGACAGGAGCAAACUGCAGGAGAUCCAAGUUUAUUGCGCAACAGGUUCAAGGCGAGAUUGAACCGCGAGAAAGGGGUGACAUGAACUUUUGAAAUUUCCCUCCAUGUCCCAGAAUACAGUGCAAAAUACAUCCCAGUUACAUCAUGAAUACAUUAAGAAGAGGUUGGGUUACACAGAUUACAUCAUGAAUACAUUAAGAAGAGGUUGGGUCACACAGGAUUAACAUAUGGAGGAGGGAGGGGGGAAUAUGCAGAGCUGGAGAUAUGCGCAGAUAAGCACAUCCUGAGUACCUGAUGAGAAGACAAUGGUCCAUGUAUGCAUGGUCUGCCACCUGGCAUUGCCCGGAGGAAAGGCUUGGCAGAGUGAUUUGACAGGAUUAGGGUCUUGACACCUUGCUUGAGGGAUUAUGGAGGACAGGGGAGGUGUCAUGGAGUCCUAGAGAAAUUGAGCAAAUUGGCACGUUGGUUUUCUAUGAAUUUUAUAGAUUUUAGUCCCUUUUGACAUUGACAAUUGGAAAUAAAUGGAUAUAUUGUAGCGAAGAAGGAGGUGAAGAAGACAUGCCCCCCCCUUCCGUAUCAGAACCUUGUUGCGACAAAUAAAAACCAGGUCUACUGACCACUAUUUGCUUCUUUAACUUGGCUGGAGACUCCUUCUUUGCUGACCCAGAGAGACCCACGGGAAGUGGCACCCCGAUGUGCUGGGCAGGGGAGUAAAUCCGCACCCCAGGAUUUUUUCGUUAUCAAGGGGUUGGUUUUGCUCUCUGUGUUUUUCUUGAAGCUGUCGAGCGGUGAAAAUCACUGUGGUCGAAAACCAUUUUGGGAUGUUGAUCUUGGCAAUCAAGGGCUAUUGGCCAUUAUUUCUAUGCUCAGUCUCCACCUGCUGAAGCAUUAACCCUUCUGAAGAGCAGGCGCUGGAAGGCGCAUCAGAGGAGAGGGCUGUUGCGCUGGGAUCCUGCUCGCAGCGUUUCCCACUGGCCACUGUGAGAACAGGAGGCUGCCCUAGAGGAGCCCGCUGGGACCUGAUCCAGUGGGCAUAUGUUGUUGGCCCAUCUCCAUUAAAUGUUCAGCUUUCAUUCUUUUUAAGGAAAGCAAUGACAAGCCUAGACAGCAUCUUAAAAAGCAGAGACAUCACCUUGCCAACAAAGGUCCAUACAAUGGUACCUCGGGUUACAUACGCUUCAUGUUACAUAUGCUUCAGGUUACAGACUCCGCUAACCCAUGAAUUGUACCGCGAGUUAAGAACUUUGCUUCAGGAUGAGAACAGAACUCAUGCUCCAGCGGCGUGGCAGCAGCAGGAGGCCCCAUUAGCUAAAGUGGUGCUUCAGGUUAAGAACUGUUUCAAGUUAAGAACGGACCUCCGGAACGAAUUAAGUACUUAACCCGAGGUACCACUGUAUAGUUAAAGCUAUGGUUUUCCUAGCACGGUAGUGAUGUAUGGAAGUGAGAGCUGGACCAUCAAGAAGGCUGAUCGCUGAAGAAUUGAUGCUUUUGAAUUCUGGUGCUGGAGGAGACUCUUGAGAGUCCCAUGGACUGCAAGAAGAUCAAACGUAUCCAUUCUGAAGGAAAUCAGCCCUGAGUGCUCACUGGAAGGACAGAUCCUGAAGCUCAGGCUCCAAGACUU
Non-coding RNA from Podarcis lilfordi (Lilford's wall lizard), 7464 nucleotides. The record is from the annotation of a GenBank genome assembly. NCBI's taxonomy places the organism in Eukaryota, Metazoa, Chordata, Lepidosauria, Squamata, Lacertidae.